Molecule: ribosomal RNA, 464 nt
Filed under: uncultured bacterium
Lineage: Bacteria
Description: partial 16S ribosomal RNA
Rfam family: Bacterial small subunit ribosomal RNA
Source: RNAcentral
GAUGAACGCUGGCGGCGUGCUUAACACAUGCAAGUCGAACGGAAAGGCUCCUGCUUGCAGGGGUACUCGAGUGGCGAACGGGUGAGUAACACGUGGGUGAUCUGCCCUGCACUUCGGGAUAAGCCUGGGAAACUGGGUCUAAUACCGGAUAGGACCACAUUUUGGAUGGUGUGGUGGAAAGUUUUUCGGUGUGGGAUGAGCUCGCGGCCUAUCAGCUUGUUGGUGGGGUAAUGGCCUACCAAGGCGUCGACGGGUAGCCGGCCUGAGAGGGUGUACGGCCACAUUGGGACUGGGAUACGGCCCAGACUCCUACGGGAGGCAGCAGUGGGGAAUAUUGCACAAUGGGCGCAAGCCUGAUGCAGCGACGCCGCGUGGGGGAUGACGGCCUUCGGGUUGUAAACUCCUUUCGCUAGGGACGAAGCGCAAGUGACGGUACCUGGAGAAGAAGCACCGGCUAACUACGU